UAGUAAGAAGCAAAUUUUGCGUUUAGUUUCGACCUAAAAUUUUAGUUUUUUACUCUGCUAU
This 61-nucleotide transfer RNA is filed under the name Lachesilla sp. LaspMLY. RNAcentral describes it as "tRNA-Arg". Lineage: Eukaryota; Metazoa; Arthropoda; Insecta; Psocodea; Lachesillidae. The record is from RNAcentral.